RNAcentral lists this transfer RNA (72 nucleotides) under Schistosoma japonicum. RNAcentral describes it as "tRNA-OTHER". The record is from RNAcentral. Lineage: Eukaryota; Metazoa; Platyhelminthes; Trematoda; Strigeidida; Schistosomatidae.
GACUCAGUGGUUUAAUGGUAAAGCGCUUGUCGCGGAGCAAGAGGGUCCUGUGUUCGAUCCUUGACGGGGUUC